RNAcentral lists this long non-coding RNA (648 nucleotides) under Phoenix dactylifera (date palm). RNAcentral describes it as "long non-coding RNA (PDAC_LNC002137)". Lineage: Eukaryota; Viridiplantae; Streptophyta; Magnoliopsida; Arecales; Arecaceae. The record is from RNAcentral.
AUUGGGGGGAAAAAGAAAUCAUAAUCAGCAAAAAUCUUAUACACAGCAUUUCUGCUAUGAUUCUUNNNNNNNNNNNNNNNNNNNNNNNUAUAUUGUCAAAUAUAGAAUCAAAUAUUUAUUCUUGAUAAUAUUAAACUCCACUUCCAUACAAGCUUUGUUCAAGGUGGAGACAUGAGAAACUGUUUGGGUACGGUAUGGAGAAGAAGAAAGCAAGGAAGAGAACCCCAAAAGGGGAUUGGCUCCCCUGUUCGAAUAUUAUGAAAGAGAAGGCAUAAAAUUUGACCCGGACAUUAAAAUCAGCUCCUUAUUUAAAGUAACUUUUCAUAAAAGAGUGAUGUUUGCAUCCCUAAAUUUUAGUAUUGCCAAAAAUCUGACUCUCUAGCUCCGUAUACUGAAGUGUUAACUCAAGGCGAAGGAUCAAGGUCUUCAUAAUAUGUACUCGAUCAAACACAAUAAUAGGAGAUAUAUAAUAUCUUGGCUAUUAUAAAAGUACUGACACCAGAUCAACAAAAAUCUUAACUAGGGUGCGUGCUUUAGUUAAAGUGAGACUCCAAGACCUAGAUGAUCUUCCUUACCAUCCUAUAUAUUAGACUUCAAAACAAAAUCAAACAAAAAAAACAAGGAAAAUGACAACAAGUAAUAGACCAC